CUGCUGACCAGGAAAGGGAGUAGGACAGGAAAUGUAGACAUUUACUGAUGAAUUUAUAAAUGCCAGUUCUUAUUCCAAUGAUGGUGUUUGUAACUGCAGAGUAAAGAGAUUGCAGAAUUUUGUUGGGUAAACACAAAGUAGAUUUCCAAACAGAUAAUAUACCUGUCUCGAGCAAGGGAUGCUGCUCCUAUGACAUCUAAGAUCAAGAUCCCAACAGAUUGCUCAGGCCUCUGACUUAGUUACCUGAACAUUUUUAUGCAGUCCAGAAGAAUAAUGACUAUGAUUUGGCUUGGUUCAUCCACCACUUCUACAGCUUUAUCUCAUCUUUACCAGUAUGCAGAUCCAUUUGUCCACCAGCUGAAAGCACUGUACAACAACAGAAUGGAAGUUCUAGGUCAAAGAAAUGCACUGCAAAGUCACUCCAGAGAAAAACAUCUGCUCCAGUGGUGCAAAUGAUCUGGAAAAGUAUCAGAAGAGUAUCAUGUGUGGGCACCUUCAUGAAAAUUCAGCCUUGGACAAAAUGACAGGAUGUAGGAGGACUGGAAGCCUUCAGAACCACAGAG
Long non-coding RNA from Gallus gallus (chicken), 563 nucleotides. Lineage: Eukaryota; Metazoa; Chordata; Aves; Galliformes; Phasianidae. The record is from Ensembl.